AGGGUGUAAACGAUGCGGGCUUGGUGUUGGGGGUCCUUAGUGGGCGCCCAGUGCCGAAGAGAAGUUGUUAAGCCUGCUGCUUGGGGAGUACGUUCGCAAGGAUGAAACUUAAAGGAAUUGGCGGGGGAGCACCACAACGGGUGGAGCGUGCGGUUUAAUUGGAUUCAACGCCGGACAACUCACCAGGAGCGACAGACUGCAUGAAGGCCAGGCUGAAGACUCUGCUUGACUAGCUG
RNAcentral lists this ribosomal RNA (236 nucleotides) under uncultured archaeon. RNAcentral describes it as "partial 16S ribosomal RNA". It matches the Rfam family "Archaeal small subunit ribosomal RNA", at positions 748 to 982 of the family's 1478-position model. The record is from RNAcentral.